UGGCCUUUGAGGCAUUUAUGGGUCAAAAGCAUCCGCCUUCAUGGAUGUUGCUGGUUCAACAGGAUGGCCAAGGACUACUAGACGACAGUGAGGUCAGUCGCAUGAGGGUUUUCUGCCUUCAUGGAUGUUGCUGGUUCAACAGGAUGGCCAAGGACUACUAGACGACAGUGAGGUCAGUCGCAUGAGGGUUUUCUGCCUUCAUGGAUGUUGCUGGUUCAACAGGAUGGCCAAGGACUACUAGACGACAGUGAGGUCAGUCGCAUGAGGGUUUUCUGCCUUCAUGGAUGUUGCUGGUUCAACAGGAUGGCCAAGGACUACUAGACGACAGUGAGGUCAGUCGCAUGAGGGUUUUCUGCCUUCAUGGAUGUUGCUGGUUCAACAGGAUGGCCAAGGACUACUAGACGACAGUGAGGUCAGUCGCAUGAGGGUUUUCUGCCUUCAUGGAUGUUGCUGGUUCAACAGGAUGGCCAAGGACUACUAGACGACAGUGAGGUCAGUCGCAUGAGGGUUUUCUGCCUUCAUGGAUGUUGCUGGUUCAACAGGAUGGCCAAGGACUACUAGACGACAGUGAGGUCAGUCGCAUGAGGGUUUUCUGCCUUCAUGGAUGUUGCUGGUUCAACAGGAUGGCCAAGGACUACUAGACGACAGUGAGGUCAGUCGCAUGAGGGUUUUCUGCCUUCAUGGAUGUUGCUGGUUCAACAGGAUGGCCAAGGACUACUAGACGACAGUGAGGUCAGUCGCAUGAGGGUUUUCUGCCUUCAUGGAUGUUGCUGGUUCAACAGGAUGGCCAAGGACUACUAGACGACAGUGAGGUCAGUCGCAUGAGGGUUUUCUGCCUUCAUGGAUGUUGCUGGUUCAACAGGAUGGCCAAGGACUACUAGACGACAGUGAGGUCAGUCGCAUGAGGGUUUUCUGCCUUCAUGGAUGUUGCUGGUUCAACAGGAUGGCCAAGGACUACUAGACGACAGUGAGGUCAGUCGCAUGAGGGUUUUCUGCCUUCAUGGAUGUUGCUGGUUCAACAGGAUGGCCAAGGACUACUAGACGACAGUGAGGUCAGUCGCAUGAGGGUUUUCUGCCUUCAUGGAUGUUGCUGGUUCAACAGGAUGGCCAAGGACUACUAGACGACAGUGAGGUCAGUCGCAUGAGGGUUUUCUGCCUUCAUGGAUGUUGCUGGUUCAACAGGAUGGCCAAGGACUACUAGACUACAGUGAGGUCAGUCGCAUGAGGGCUUUCUGCC
Long non-coding RNA from Oncorhynchus keta (chum salmon), 1237 nucleotides. RefSeq lists it as uncharacterized. NCBI's taxonomy places the organism in Eukaryota, Metazoa, Chordata, Actinopteri, Salmoniformes, Salmonidae. The record is from RefSeq and is a predicted model, not a curated record. The transcript has 5 exons.